Molecule: non-coding RNA, 234 nt
Organism: Styela clava
Lineage: Eukaryota; Metazoa; Chordata; Ascidiacea; Stolidobranchia; Styelidae
Source: RefSeq, a predicted model, not a curated record
GCGAUUGAAUACAUACAAUAUUUUAAUUGAGACCUUCAUUUUGAGAAUACAUAUAAAUUUACAGUCGGGACACCAACUUAUUUUGCAAUUCUAGCAUUUGAACUUGGCAAAAGCACAACAAGGGCGGAUCUUAUUCAGACAGUGGUAAUUGCCUACCAAAGAAAUAUUGCGUGUGCUGAAGUUGGCUUCAAAAUUACUGGUGUUGACAUGGAAGGUUCGUGGGCUGCAGCUACC